Molecule: long non-coding RNA, 809 nt
Filed under: Arachis ipaensis
Lineage: Eukaryota; Viridiplantae; Streptophyta; Magnoliopsida; Fabales; Fabaceae
Description: long non-coding RNA (AIPA_LNC001675)
Source: RNAcentral
GCUCGUCUUCUUCUUGGGAACACCCUUCCUCCAUCUACAUACAAUUCUACCUCUUCCCUUUUCUCUCUCUCUCUCUCUCUCUCUCUGACUUAGUUAUAAACACAAAAACACAAAGUGACACCCUUUUUCAAUAACACUGUUCCUUUUCCCUUCAAAGUAAAUUCAGAAACUCCACCCUACUUUGUGUCUUUUCGGAACCAAAGAGAAGGAAAAAAAAAAAGUACCAUGAUAUGAUACUUUCAUCAUAAUCAUGAACAAUAAUAACAAGAAGAAGAAGAAACUAUUAUUUAUGGAUGACAACAAUCAUAAUAAUGCCGUUGCAAUCAUUCAUCAUAUGGACCCUUAUGAUGAGGAUGAUGAAGAUGUUCAUUAUUGUUAUUAUUAUUAUUAUUAUCAUUAUUAUUUUCAAUCAUGUGGUGAUGAUGAUGUUUUGUGCUACAAGAAGAAGAAGAAGAAGAUGAUAGGGUUAUGAUCGAUGGUGGAGAAUUCACCGGUGGAAGAAGAUUGAUUUAGCGGCGUACAUGGGAAAGCCAGGCAUUUUUUUCUUCACCUUCAUGAACUUUAUAAAUUUUGUUCUUCUUCUUUUUUUUUUUUUUGGUUAAGCUUAUUUUAUUUUUGUUGUGAUUUAUUAUUAUUCACACCUAUACUCCUAUAAUAUUAUUGUUGAUUCAAUUAUAUCGGGUUAUUAGGCAAUUAUUUGUAAACGGUUCUUAGCCUUAAAACUUCAUCAAUGGUCACAAAAAAUUUAUAAAGUGAAAUAAAUUUUGUUGCUGGUUUUCCUAGCUAGCUAGCUAGUCACUCCUCUCUCU